GCAAAAUAUGAGCAAAGCUUAGGCUUUUGAGGCGAUUCCAAAGGGGAAAAGGACCGUAGCUUUCGUCGUCGUUGUUUGUUGUUUGGAGGAGAUUCUAGCGAACGGCGCCGCCGUAGCAAAAGCGAAGGAAUAAAGAGAUACAGCCGAGGAAGCGGCGACGAGAGUGAUGGUUUUAAUUGGAGUAUGAAUUUUAACAGAUUUUUAAGGGCAUUUUAACAAUGGCCCGAAUAAAAUAAAUAUUCAAAAAAAUAAAUUAAGAAAAUUCUAGAAUCUCAUAAUUAUCACCGCUACUUUGCCCAAGCAGAGAAUUCUAAUGCCCGUCUUGUCUAUCAAUCUGCCAUUUCUUCUUUAUGACGGUUCCAUAUUUUCAAGGAAAGCAUUUAUCACCUAAACCAUUGAUCUACCCGUUCCAAACUUUCCUUUCUUCCUCUUCUACUCCGCCCAUUUUCAGUCUGGUUCUUGCACUCUAUCAUAUUCUUUCUGGUUUCAGGGACGUUUCCUAACAGGAGAUCAAUAGGCUGGGGGGCUGUUAAUCGGCAAUCUAGUAGUGUGAAAUCAUCGCUGUUCGUUCGAAGGUUCUGGUGGUCUUGGGAUUGCGUUUGCUGCAAAAACGUACCAGGUGUGUACUCGAAACGCGAAAAAUUCAGUUUCGGCAAAGGUUAAAAAUGGCCACUAUCGACGCCACACGGGCAUGUGGCCGGCCAUGUAGAUGGCUGUGUGCGAGAGACGACCGUGUGAUCGAUGAAGGCAUGGUCGUGCGCAGCACACGGCCGUGUGGUGGCUCGAGUGUGGCCGUGUGGGCCACACGGGAAAGGCCAAGUUGGGCGUGUGGAUUUUGGGCUAGGACGUGUGGACCACACGAGCAGGACCAAUCUAGGCAUGUGGGCCACACGGGCGUGUGGGCCCAAACGAGUAUAUGGGCCCAUAAUUCUAUAAUUUUCCCUAGGGUCGCACGAUUCGCUCUGAUCGAUUGUGUGUAACACCCCUAACCCGUAUUCGUCGUCAGGCUAGGGUUUAGAGACAUUACCGGACAUGUCGGAACAUUUCACGAUCACUUUAGUAUCAAAAGUCAUACAUCGACUUAUCAUAGUCAAACAUCGACAUAAUUCAUUUUUAUAA
This is a long non-coding RNA of Gossypium raimondii (Peruvian cotton), 1119 nucleotides long. RefSeq lists it as uncharacterized. The transcript is spliced from 3 exons. Lineage: Eukaryota; Viridiplantae; Streptophyta; Magnoliopsida; Malvales; Malvaceae. The record is from RefSeq and is a predicted model, not a curated record.